UCAUGACCGCCUCUGUGCCCGCGGAGGCUGUAGGGGAGAGCCUCCGCUGCUCGGCGCGGGGCUUCGUGUCCCGGUGACUGCGCGCGUCUCCAGCUCCUUUCAUCCUGAAGAAGCUGGACAGUAUAUGAACACAUAAGAAGACUCAGUAUAUGAAAACAUAAAAUGGACUGUAGCUGCUUUCCCCUGUUUGUUAAUUAAACAUUGUGCCAGAGGCAGACAUCCUAUACUAAAUGGUUCUAAAAUGUUUCACUUAAGUAUAUCUGACCUGUGAAUGAUAGCCUAGUUGGGAGUAUGGGGAAGAUACCUGUUGUCCCUGCAGGUGAAUUCUGGUCACAGAAUACUGAGAAUACUCCCUCGUAUCAUCAUGCAAUGACUUGUGAUGGAACAUUUCUUGUACUGUUUAAAAGAAAGUCCAUCCAUUUUGUAUGAAGUGUUAAGCGCUAACAAGUUGCUUUGUUAUGCAGCUACCUCUAAACUGCCACAUGCUAUGGCUAUCAAUCUUACUGGACCUGUCUGUAUGAAAAAUGAAAUGAGUCUUGAAUGAAUCCAGUUCACAAGCAGUUUGAUUUGAAAUAAAUGGAAGAGCAGUUGUAUCAUUUAA
Long non-coding RNA from Pygoscelis adeliae (Adelie penguin), 601 nucleotides. RefSeq lists it as uncharacterized. The record is from RefSeq and is a predicted model, not a curated record. The transcript is spliced from 2 exons. NCBI's taxonomy places the organism in Eukaryota, Metazoa, Chordata, Aves, Sphenisciformes, Spheniscidae.